AAAGAAGACAAGAAACAGCAAGAGAAAGAUGAUGGUUUAGAUCUCAAUCUCACCCUAUAAAGUGUUCCAUCUCAGUUUACUAAAUGAUGCCUAAUGGGAUUGCAACACUUGCUCUUUUUUCUUUGUUUGAUUAAUUUAAUGUUUAACCUUCUUGUCGUGUACUGAAAUAUGAAUUUCCUGCUUCAAUUGACAUCGGCCUGCCAUGUAAAACUGAAAAAUCCUUUUGUUCUUACGAGAAGAGAAAUUUGAA
RNAcentral lists this unclassified non-coding RNA (250 nucleotides) under Hevea brasiliensis (rubber tree). Lineage: Eukaryota; Viridiplantae; Streptophyta; Magnoliopsida; Malpighiales; Euphorbiaceae. The record is from RNAcentral.